This 31-nucleotide small RNA is filed under the name Arabidopsis thaliana (thale cress). RNAcentral's name for it is "ATSL148320". The record is from RNAcentral. Lineage: Eukaryota; Viridiplantae; Streptophyta; Magnoliopsida; Brassicales; Brassicaceae.
ACAGACUAUAUGAUAAGAAGAAGAAAAAAAU